CUUACCAUGCAGUCGAACGGUGAUGGGGAGCUUGCUCCUCUGAUCAGUGGCGAACGGGUGAGUAACACGUGAGCAAUCUGCCCUUGACUCUGGGAUAAGCGUUGGAAACGACGUCUAAUACCGGAUACGACCUUGGAAGGCAUCUUUCUUGGUGGAAAGAAUUUUGGUCAAGGAUGAGCUCGCGGCCUAUCAGCUAGUUGGUGAGGUAAUGGCUCACCAAGGCGACGACGGGUAGCCGGCCUGAGAGGGUGACCGGCCACACUGGGACUGAGACACGGCCCAGACUCCUACGGGAGGCAGCAGUGGGGAAUAUUGCACAAUGGGCGAAAGCCUGAUGCAGCAACGCCGCGUGAGGGACGACGGCCUUCGGGUUGUAAACCUCUUUUAGUAGGGAAGAAGCGUAAAAGUGACGGUACCUGCAGAAAAAGCACCGGCUAACUACGUGCCAGCAGCCGCGGUAAUACGUAGGGUGCAAGCGUUGUCCGGAAUUAUUGGGCGUAAAGAGCUCGUAGGCGGUUUGUCGCGUCUGCUGUGAAAACCCGAGGCUCAACCUCGGGCCUGCAGUGGGUACGGGCAGACUAGAGUGCGGUAGGGGAGAUUGGAAUUCCUGGUGUAGCGGUGGAAUGCGCAGAUAUCAGGAGGAACACCAAUGGCGAAGGCAGAUCUCUGGGCCGUAACUGACGCUGAGGAGCGAAAGCAUGGGGAGCGAACAGGAUUAGAUACCCUGGUAGUCCAUGCCGUAAACGUUGGGAACUAGAUGUGGGGACCAUUCCACGGUCUCCGUGUCGCAGCUAACGCAUUAAGUUCCCCGCCUGGGGAGUACGGCCGCAGGCUAAUCAA
RNAcentral lists this ribosomal RNA (840 nucleotides) under Cryobacterium sp. Its description in RNAcentral is "bacterial SSU rRNA". It matches the Rfam family "Bacterial small subunit ribosomal RNA", at positions 48 to 899 of the family's 1533-position model. The record is from RNAcentral. Lineage: Bacteria; Bacillati; Actinomycetota; Actinomycetes; Micrococcales; Microbacteriaceae.